This is an RNA transcript of Zeugodacus cucurbitae (melon fly), 3741 nucleotides long. It is a transcript of the gene named RNA-binding protein 45, with no coding region annotated. The record is from RefSeq and is a predicted model, not a curated record. The transcript has 9 exons. NCBI's taxonomy places the organism in Eukaryota, Metazoa, Arthropoda, Insecta, Diptera, Tephritidae.
UAUUACACAUUCCUAUUACCGGUAUACAUAUUUUUAUCCACGCCAUUUUAUCUAGAACAAAUUAAAAGUUUUGAAUAUUUUCAAAAUAAAAAUAAAAGAAAUUAGUUCAACAAGGCGAUUUUGUGUGCAAAAAUAAUAGUUUUAUAAUAUUUAUCAUGUCCGAUUAUCGAUCAUCAUCACGGGAUGGCCAUCGAGAUGGUGGACGUGGCGGUAGCGGACGAGAUUAUUCGAGUGAUGAUGAUCCGCCCAUGUCGCGUCUUUUCAUAAUUUGCAAUAAAGCACAUACUGAAGAAGAUUUUCGUGACGCAUUUUCUCCUUAUGGCGAGAUUGAAGAUAUCUGGGUUGUAAAGGAUAAAAAUUCUGGUGAAAACAAAGGAAUUGCUUAUGUAAAAUUCGCCAAAACAUCGGAUGCCGCUAAGGCACAAGAGGAGAUGAAUGGCAAAACCAUUGGUAAAAUGGAUCGCACCUUGAAGGUGUUGGUGGCAGCAAAUCGAAACCAAGGUUCAAACAAGUCUGAAAAUGAACAGGAAAAAUAUGUGCGUUUAUUCAUUGUUAUAUCGAAAUCAGCAACAGAAGAGGAAAUUAGAAGCGAAUUUUCACAAUGGGGAGAUGUGGAAAAUGUAACGAUAGUCAAAGACAAAUCGUCAGGAUCUCCAAAGGGAUUUGGUUAUGUGCGAUUUACAAAGUUUUAUCAUGCUGCAGUAGCCUUUGAGAACUGUCCCACCAAAUAUAAAGCAGUUUUCGCUGAACCAAAAGGUUCAACACGAUCACAAAGAGAUCAGUACGGUCGACCAGCGGAUGAUAACCCAAUUGUUAGUUCCGGACGUAGCGGUGGUGGUGGCAGUGGAGGUAGCGGCUCUUAUAACAAUGGCAACUACAACAAUGACUGGAAUUGUUCUUUCAAUAGCGAUAUGGCUGCAUUCCUGCGCAUGCAGAAUGUACCAGUACCACAACCAACAUGUUUAGAAGUGAUUGCCAGCAAUUCCGUUAACCAGGAUCAGUUAUGGCGAUUAUUUGAUAUUAUACCUGGCUUGGAUUAUUGUCAAAUAACCAGAGAAUAUGGUCCGAGAACUAAUGAGGCAGUAGUCGUUUAUGAUAAUCCUGAGGCAGCUAUUUAUGCAAAAGACAAAUUGCAUGGAUUGGAAUAUCCAAUGGGAGAGCGUAUUAUAGUCAAAGUGGCUGGAAUGAGUUCAGCUAGAAUGGACACAUCUUUUAUAGAUAAGCGUACUAAAAAGGAUUCAAUAUGCAAUGUCCCAUUGCCUCCUGCCCAGCCGAUGGUAUCGCCCGAUGCAACAGUAGCACAGCGGUUGUUUAUUGUUUUAGCAGCGAAUCUGCCGCAAUCCAUAUUGAAAAAAGUGUUUUCUUGUUGGAAGGGUUUAAUUGAUGUGUACUUGCUACCGAAUAAAAAUUGCGGCUACGUUAAAUACGCAGACAGAGAUAGUGCUCAAAAAGCCAUUCAAAUUCUGAAUGGUGCGGAAAUUUGUGGCACAAAAAUUAAGGUAAUGGAAGCCGAAGAGCGAGGUAAUAGCGAUGGCGAUGAUAAUGGCAGGAAACGCUUGCGAAGAAACUAAAUGUAAGAAAAUCUUUGAAACUCAAUUUUGUUUUAUUUUAUUUUUCUUUGCAAAACCAAAAAAAAAAAAAAUCCAACAAAUGACAGUAACUGUCAAAUUUGUAAGGGACAUAAAACAUAAAGCAAACCAAAUUAAAACCAUAACAGUAACGUUCCAUUACUUAAUAAAACAAGAUAUAAAAAUAUGAAACUAACUGACUGCAGAAAACAUUUACGGAAACUAAACGCAAACGGAGUUAAAACGGAAACUGGUAGAUACAAUAAGAACGAAGAUAACACAGAAUGGUGGUGUAAGCAUAUAUACAUAAGAAUAUGUAAAAUGCUUUGGCAAUGAGCAAAACCACCAAACAAAACGACUUAGACCUUCACAAUCACUAUGUCACAGUCAUAGUCACCACAAUAUGAAUAAUGCCACAGAAUGCCACUAUGUAGACAAUGACCAAUUUGAGACCAAGUACCCAAAAAGAACUAAAACGGAGUCAAACCGCUAAUUAAGCGCAACGGACACUGCAAUGCGCUACAGUACAGAAAAAAAAUUGAUAUUACAAGUGUUAAUUUGAGCAGAGCUUUUACAAUAAAUAAAUAAAUAAACGAAAUUAGCGAAAAAUUAAACGUAACCUAAACUAGAACGAGAACGUGAACGCGAACCUGAACUAAAACCAUCUGGACAAAAAUAAUGUACGUCACGUCAAUGAAGCAAGACCCGAAUUAACCAUACCACAGUAAACUUUAAUACUCGAGCGUCCCUUUCAAUUUACAUACCUAAAAUUAGAAACUUAACACUAAACAUCUAUCCAUACUUGUACAUGCCUGUAAAGACUUUUACUCAUUAUUUAAUCGUUUAUAUAUUUGACAGUUUGCAGAGGAAAAUUACACACAUUUUUCUCGUUGCAUCAAGCUGUUUAUAUGCAAAAAUUUUCUGCAACAGUAUAGCUAACAAGUUUGGCAAUUCACAAAUAUGUAUAUAUACAAAAAUAAAUAUAUAUAUAUAUAUAUACAUACAUACUACAUAUUUUAAACGCAGAUAAUUAUAAAUAUAUUAAACAAUAUUAUAUAUAUAAUUUUUCUCAAAUAAAAGUUGUUUUAUUUCGAAUUUCACAAAUGCCGGUAAGUAAAAUUUGUUAUUUAUUAGCACGCGACACAACAUUUAUCAUGUUUGUAUGUCAAUUUUUGCUUAUUUAAAAAUCUCUAACUAUGCCGUUUUAAUAUUGAUGUGAUGCUAAAACGCUGUCAGUUUUUUUGCAGAGCCAAAAAUAAAUAAAAAAUUGUGGGCGAACUAAACUAUCUAAAAAUUUAAGCCUACGAAAUCUAAUAGCGGCAAUGUCUAAAGUACAUAAUUUCAAACUUUCUCCCAUAAAAAAUAAGACUUGGUAUGGCGUUCGGCUUAUCUAUUUCAGUUACUCUACAUAGUUUAUUCAUAUUUUCGUAUGUGCGUCUUACAAAUAAUCAUAUCCUAUUUGAAUGAAAAAUAUAGUUGUUUUAAAUUAUUUAUUCAUUUGUUCAUAUUAAUUUAUAUAAUUGCAAAUUUAAUAAUAAUAGUCUUCUUCCUUAGUUUUGUAAUGAGUGCAUUAGCGUAGAUGCCGGAGAAUUCGUUUCUCCCUUCGCCAAACGGGUUUCCAUAUUAAUAUUAAACUAUUAGCAUUACUUUGACUACAUUCAUUGUUAGGUUUGCUGUUAUACACUGAUUUUAACAUUUUUAUUAAUAAUAAUUUCAAUCAACUAAAAAACAUACUUCGUUGAAAAUGUAAUUAUGUUACUCGGAAGUGGAGUGAAUUUGGUCAAUCUAUGAUGUAUUGGCAAUGAAAUAAGGGAAACGGAUUGUUACGAUUCACAUUUUUGUAGAUAACUAUUGUAUUUAAAUUAUUUUCAGUGUGCUUAAUUGCUUUUCGCUAAAAAUCAACACAAUCAUUUUCGAUUGAUUUUAGCACAUUUGUGGUUGUUGUUAUUAUACAAAGUUAGUGCGGAUUUAAAAAAAACUCUUGCACUUAACAAGCACACAUUGCUCUUAUAGUUCGUAUUAUUGUUUCUGGUGAUCUAUGAAUUGAGAAUUCCUCUAAUUGGUUACUGCUUUGACUUUCUGUUGAUUGUUUGCUGACUUGGUUGGAUAAUUCAAAAUAUUGAUAUUUGCUGCUUAGUUUAAAAGCCGUGCACUUUUAGUUGAUCUGGUUUCG